Physcomitrium patens is the source of this 1060-nucleotide non-coding RNA. NCBI's taxonomy places the organism in Eukaryota, Viridiplantae, Streptophyta, Bryopsida, Funariales, Funariaceae. The record is from RefSeq and is a predicted model, not a curated record.
AUGGUUUGGAUGAAGGAUCAAUGGGAUGGAUGCGCGUCUUGACCCUCCUCCCCGCACUCUCGCUCCUUGAUGUUCGGGCCUCCGGCACCCUUGCGUCAAUUGUUCUCGAGAACCCUCGCAGCCUCAUGUAACUAUGCGUACUUCGGAAAAGAAUCCGCAAUUAUGAAGAUCGUCAAUCAUUUUCGACGCUGUUGCCCUCGAGGAUUUUAACUCUAAAUUACUGCAUGAUCCGUGGGGUUUGGCGUAAGUCGUGAGGAUCUUAUCACUCUUACCUUUACCGGGAUUUUCCUGUCGAGACGAUGCUAUUUGCCGAGAUCUAUAAGCAAACUCCAAAUGAUAAAGCGCAUUGCCGUUGUGAAGCACUUUGAUCUUAAAGCUUAUACGCAACGUGUGUGUUAAUUAUUCAGGAGUGCGAAGGGUCUGUUGUUUUUUUGCAGCAUCUGCGUUAAGUUUUCUCACAGCAUUCUUCAUAGCUUUUGCUUGGCUGCAACAGUUUCCGAUAAUGAUUCCAGAAUGCCUAUCUCUAUCAUUGUCAGUGCACUUUGCUGAUGAAUACUUGCAAGACUGUGUAAGUUAAUCUUUUGCUCAUUCAAACAACCAUUUUGCUUCUGUGAUCUUGCAUUGCUUAACUAAGAUUUAUGAAAAGCAUGAUUCUGAUGAGCUUUGCAUUUGCAGAGAAUGCGAUUUCAGGUGCUGAUUUAGGACAUGAUGCUGUAUUCAUUGCUCUGGUGCACCUGAUUUGUUUCCGUUUUAUUAGUAACGAUUUUCUUUGUUGUAUAUUUUGAUUUCGUUGACAGCUCUGUUUUAAUGGUUGCAGUCCUAUUUGUUUCAAUGAUACGUUAUUAUUAUUAUUCUUAUUCUUACUUACAUUUUACUUUAAAUUAGUAAAUAUUAGUUUUUAUUUCAGUAAGUUUUGAACUUCCUGUAGAAUGUAGAACAUGCAAUGUGCAUGCUUUUGAGCUUUAGUAGAUUGGAAAUUAUUUAGAGUUAUAUGUAUCACUUUGUAAUGCUUAUUAAAACGUGUAAUAAGAUACCUGUGAAUGUUUUGUGUUCAUCUUAA